Long non-coding RNA from Passer domesticus (house sparrow), 493 nucleotides. RefSeq lists it as uncharacterized. The transcript has 3 exons. Lineage: Eukaryota; Metazoa; Chordata; Aves; Passeriformes; Passeridae. The record is from RefSeq and is a predicted model, not a curated record.
UGCCAAGGAGGGAAAAAGAAAUCCUAACAAAUAACAAGUUCAUGGAGUGCAUAAAUCUGGAUAUGUUCAAGUGAUUCAGGUUGGCUUGGAUAAUGAAAAUAAAUCCCUCCUCCUCUUGCCAUAAAUCAGCGUAUUCUGGCUUCUGUCCCCAGGAAGAGCCUGUCUGUUCCACUGCCAGGGUUAUUCCCAGUUCUUUGUCCCAGUUCUGGGACUGGAUUAUCUUCAGGGACAGGCUGAGCCUCGUGGUCCUUCUUGCAGCUGUCAGGAGACCGAGGAGAGCUUGGUGAGGUCUUGGGAGGGCUGUUCCCAUGCUGCAGAACCCAGCCCAGACCUGCUGAAGCGACCUCAGGAGCUUUGGGUUGAGAAAGAAGGUGGAAAAACGUGACCAAGCUCUGCAAUGCCCCUCUGGGAGAAGGGAGCUGCUUACUCCACUACUUUGAAUUUUCUGAGCCUCUGUGUCCACCUUUAAGGGUACCAAGAGCAUCACCAGCCC